Oryza sativa Japonica Group (Japanese rice) is the source of this 2293-nucleotide non-coding RNA. The record is from RefSeq and is a predicted model, not a curated record. Lineage: Eukaryota; Viridiplantae; Streptophyta; Magnoliopsida; Poales; Poaceae.
UCCGCGACGGCGCGCUUCGGCUCGGACUGAAUCCAUCCCGCAAUGGAGUUUUGUCCCACCUCGCCGAUUUUGAGAUAGGGCGACCUCUUUAUAAACUCUGGUUGAUCCUCUUGUGUUGCCUCCCCGGAGGCACCCACCCCGACUGACGAUAGCGAAAAGAUCCCCUCCGAGGGGCAGCGGUAGGGCGUGUACCCCCUACCGUUCAGCUGGAAAAAAAAAAGGCAGUGAAAAGAUCCCUACUUUUUGGGCACGGCAGGCGACCCCCUGCCGGUCAGCUGCAAGAAAAAAAAAUAAAGAAAAAUGGAGCAGUGAAAAGAUCCCUACUUGGGCACGGCAGGCGACCCCCUGCCGGUUAGCUUGCAUCCAUAAAAAAAAAAAGAUGCCCUAUAGAGGCACACAGUCGGGCCUCUGGUGGAGGCAGCGUUAGACAUUAGCGCUUUGCUUUUUUGAAAUUAUUCUCUCUUUUUUUUGUUGAAUCCUUGGUUAUAAUCAUGCUUGCCAAUUUCGUUGAACAUCAGCUACAGCUAACAUAGUCGGUAAUUCUAUCAUGAAUACAGGUUUGAGAAAUCACAUAAUGCUUGCCAAUUUGAUUUUUUUUUAACAAACUCCCAUUUUGGUUCCUUAGUGCAGGAAUGGAUCAGCACAAUAUCCUCUGCAAAAUUUCUUCACAGAUAAUUGUCACAACCUGCCAAGUUUCUAUGUAGAUCACUGUUGAACAUCAGCUAUCAUGAAUACAAGUUUCUAUGUAAACACAUAAUGCUUUCCUUGUUUGCUAAUUUGUGAAUUUGGUUGAAAAUCAGCUAUCGUGAAUACAAGUGUGAGAGACCACAUAAUGCUGAGUUAAUUGCAGUAGUAAUUCGUAUGGCUUGCAACAAUUUAUUUAAGGGAGUUUGUUGUACGUAGCUGAGUGAGACUCCAGCGCCCGGCGGCCUCUGACUUCCUCGCUGCGGUUUACAGUGACCUUGGGGAAGAUGGUAUGCAAAUUUUGGUUAAGUCCCACGUAACACCUUGGGCAAGCAAAGAUCAUGAUAGAUUUCUGAACCGUUCAAGCUUCAGAUAAAUGGACAAGUUCAGAACUGUUCUGACUAAUUCACAGAGAAUAGAAAUGUUCAGAACCUAGAUGUGAUCACUGAUAAGUCUUGUUUCACUGAUCACUGAUAAGGAUGUGCUACUGUUUAAGAACCUGCUCAAGGAAAUUGCAUCGUUGAGAAGAUGCGCGAAAGGUCAAACAUGGGUGUUGAAAAUAACUAGCAGUAAUUUUAGCUGUAGCUGACUGGAACAAAGUUUUGGUUAGUGUGCGUACUGCAUAAAUUUAAUUUCAUUCAGGUAGAAGAGUCAAAUUUGAUUGAGGGCGGGAAAUGUCUCUAAUGUUUUGUUUUUUGAAACCUUUUGGCAUGACUAGCUGGCCCAUUUUGUUGGGAAGAAACAAAUUCGAAACAAGAACAUGUCAGGUGACGAGUUGUAAAUACUGGAAUACAAACAUUUGAGACUGGCAGGACUGCAACAGUUCGUUCUCUCCCAACAUUUCAUACUGGCGACCGCGGCCCUUGCAGCCGGCCAUUCGUUCUGCUCAAUCAUCUACACAUUCAACCCAGGCAGCGCCGCAGCUGGUCAGCUAAGCUGCAUUCUUGCAUCCAGGAGAAAAAAAAACAAAUUUAAGGUGAAGUUCCCCUUCGUGGUUAUGGCCAGCAAUUCCAUGGAAAGCUCGUAUGUUCUGAUCAGAUCGAAUUGGGAUCUGUCUGGCGUAUUACUUUGAGUAUGAUGCUGAUAUCAGUAAUUAAUCCAGAUACGAGGAUGCAGUACUAUGCAAUAAUCAAUGAUCAUGGAUAAACCAUAUGGAAGUACCAUGCAAUAUGCCAAGUUUAAAAUGAAGUCAGUAAUCUUCCAGGGUGACGUCGGAGAAGUCACGCAAUCAGUUGCGCAGGACGAGACUAAAGGUGGAAAAUGAAGACAAUGAUGGUAAUGUAUCCGAAAACAACAUCUGAACCAUCAAGGCACAGUGGAAAAUACCACAACCAGCAAACUCACAACCACUCACGGAUUUAUCAUUCUAGAACAUCUUCAUUUGAUGCAUCAUUCUUAGUAUGUUUCUGACUACUGAAAUCUGAUGAGUUACAAGUACAAUUGUUCUUCAAAACUGUUGCUAUUUGAUUGGGCUAUGGCACACCAUAGUACUAUUUAGGGAGAAUUAUAAUGAUAGUAAAUAUUAGGUCUCACAUGUUUGCUCUGUUUUUUAAAAAACAGAAACACGGUCGUUCCUGAGUAGGCAAAUACAGCAUGAUGAUUAAUUCUA